Molecule: small nuclear RNA, 105 nt
Organism: Pan paniscus (pygmy chimpanzee)
Lineage: Eukaryota; Metazoa; Chordata; Mammalia; Primates; Hominidae
Source: Ensembl
GGGCUAACUUUGGCAGCAAGUAUACUAAAAUUAGAACAAUACAAAAGAUUAGCGUGGUCCCUGUGCAAGGAUGACACACAAAUUCAUGAUGCAAAAAAUUCCCUU